Molecule: ribosomal RNA, 496 nt
Filed under: uncultured bacterium
Lineage: Bacteria
Description: partial 16S ribosomal RNA
Rfam family: Bacterial small subunit ribosomal RNA
Source: RNAcentral
GAUGAACGCUGGCGGCGUGCCUAAUACAUGCAAGUCGAGCGAACGGACGAGAAGCUUGCUUCUCUGAUGUUAGCGGCGGACGGGUGAGUAACACGUGGAUAACCUACCUAUAAGACUGGGAUAACUUCGGGAAACCGGAGCUAAUACCGGAUAAUAUUUUGAACCGCAUGGUUCAAAAGUGAAAGACGGUCUUGCUGUCACUUAUAGAUGGAUCCGCGCUGCAUUAGCUAGUUGGUAAGGUAACGGCUUACCAAGGCAACGAUGCAUAGCCGACCUGAGAGGGUGAUCGGCCACCCUGGAACUGAGACACGGUCCAGACCCCUACGGGAGGCAGCAGUAGGGAAUCUUCCGCAAUGGGCGAAAGCCUGACGGAGCAACGCCGCGUGAGUGAUGAAGGUCUUCGGAUCGUAAAACUCUGUUAUUAGGGAAGAACAUAUGUGUAAGUAACUGUGCACAUCUUGACGGUACCUAAUCAGAAAGCCACGGCUAACUACGU